CUUAGCGCCAGGUCCCAGAGGAACGGAAAAGUCUGGGAUGACGAGGAGAAACGUGAUCGAAAGAUUCGGCGGAUGCGUUUCCGCACAGACCGGGUGCGUAUACAGAAGAAAAUAUGCAGGCAACUGCAAAACAAAGUUCU
This 140-nucleotide non-coding RNA is filed under the name human gut metagenome. RNAcentral's name for it is "glmS glucosamine-6-phosphate activated ribozyme". It matches the Rfam family "glmS glucosamine-6-phosphate activated ribozyme aptamer", at positions 11 to 153 of the family's 167-position model. Rfam says of the family: This entry contains a glucosamine-6-phosphate activated ribozyme that is found in the mRNA for GlmS. GlmS is an enzyme that uses fructose-6-phosphate and glutamine to generate glucosamine-6-phosphate. The record is from RNAcentral.